RNAcentral lists this ribosomal RNA (460 nucleotides) under uncultured bacterium. RNAcentral's name for it is "partial 16S ribosomal RNA". It matches the Rfam family "Bacterial small subunit ribosomal RNA", at positions 338 to 795 of the family's 1533-position model. The record is from RNAcentral.
CCUACGGGUGGCAGCAGUGAGGAAUAUUGGUCAAUGGGGGCGAGCCUGAAGCAGCCACGUAGCGUGAAGGAUGACUGCCCUACGGGUUGUAAACUUCUUUUAUAAAGGAAUAAAGUGAGGCACGUGUGCCUUUUUGUAUGUCCUUUCUGAAUAAGGCUAGGCUAACUCCGUGCCAGCAUCCGAGGUAAUACGGAGGAUCCGAGCGUUAUCCGGAUUUAUUGGGUGUAAAGGGAGCGUAGAUGGGUUGUUAAGUCAGUUGUGAAAGUUUGCGGCGCAACCGUAAAAUUGCAAUUGAUACUGGCAGUCUUGAGUACAGUAGAGGUAGGCGGAAUUCGUGGUGUAGCGGUGAAAUGCUUAGAUAUCACGAAGAACUCCGAUUGCGAAGGCAGCUUAAUAAACUGCCACUGACAUUGAUGCUCGAAAGUGUGGGUAUCAAACAGGAUUAGAUACCCCGGUAGUC